RNAcentral lists this ribosomal RNA (468 nucleotides) under uncultured bacterium. Its description in RNAcentral is "partial 16S ribosomal RNA". It matches the Rfam family "Bacterial small subunit ribosomal RNA", at positions 28 to 507 of the family's 1533-position model. The record is from RNAcentral.
GACGAACGCUGGCGGCGUGCUUAACACAUGCAAGUCGAACGGAAAGGCCCUGCUUUUUUGGUGUGCUCGAGUGGCGAACGGGUGAGUAACACGUGAGUAACCGGCCCUUGACUUUGGGAUAACGUCAGGAAACUGGGGCUAAUACCGGAUAGGAGCGCCUGCUGCAUGGGGGGGGUUGGAAAGUUUCGGCGGUUGGGGAUGUACUCGCGGCUUAUCAGCUUGUUGGUGGGGUAGUGGCUUACCAAGGCUUUGGCGGGUAGCCGGCCUGAGAGGGUGACCGGCACAAUUGGGACUGAGAUACGGACCAGACUACUAAGGGAGGCAGGAGUGGGGAAUAUUGCACAAUGGGCGGAAGCCUGAUGCAGCAACGCCGCGUGCGGGAUGACGGCCUUCGUGUUGUAAAGCGCUUUCGCCUGUGACGAAGCGUGAGUGACGGUAAUGGGUAAAGAAGCACCGGCUAACUACGUG